ACAGCUCGAAAGCUGCGAGGCUCACCACGCACAGGAGGCGUCUCUGCACGCAUCUUCUCUCGUGAGCGGGUUAAGGUCUGAGUAUUCUAAUCCUCCUCGAUCGACUCUAGCCGGGUUUUGUCCUAACGGGCAGCGCGACGUACCAGAAAAGCAGUGGCGAGUCGUCUAUGCUCCACGAUCACAUUUAUGUGGGAGAGCGACGGCAAUUGCUCACUUUGAAAGGCGUCGUGGGGAUCGGGUGGUUUCACUCCCAUCAAAUGUUGGAUUCCUAGUCACUCAACCGCUGCUCCUGCCUAUCUCAGAGUUUGACUCUGAAAUAGGCGCCACCGAUGCAGUUCCUCAAUGCAGCUUCCUGCAGCUGGAGUGGUAUUGCCACCAUCCAAGGCGUGUCCCCACGCCUUGUCCUCCAGUCUAAGACUGCAUCAGUUGUACGGAUACACUCGUACGCCAUUUGGAGGGUGACAACGAGUCCAUCGUUUGAUCAGGUCGAGUGAUUCCACCCUUUAGUGCACUUCGUGGCUCGCAGUACACCUGCGAAACUCGAUUCAGACUACUCUCGGGCUGU
This 565-nucleotide RNase P RNA is filed under the name Pisolithus microcarpus 441. RNAcentral describes it as "Nuclear RNase P". It matches the Rfam family "Nuclear RNase P". Rfam says of the family: Ribonuclease P (RNase P) is a ubiquitous endoribonuclease, found in archaea, bacteria and eukarya as well as chloroplasts and mitochondria. Its best characterised activity is the generation of mature 5'-ends of tRNAs by cleaving the 5'-leader elements of precursor-tRNAs. Cellular RNase Ps are ribonucleoproteins. The record is from Rfam by way of RNAcentral. Lineage: Eukaryota; Fungi; Basidiomycota; Agaricomycetes; Boletales; Pisolithaceae.